UACGUAGGGUGCGAGCGUUGUCCGGAAUUAUUGGGCGUAAAGGGCUCGUAGGCGGUUUGUCACGUCGGGGGUGAAAACACCGGGCUUAACUCGGGGCUUGCUUUCGAUACGGGCAGACUUGAGGUAUGCAGGGGAAAACGGAAUUCCUGGUGUAGCGGUGAAAUGCGCAGAUAUCAGGAGGAACACCGGUGGCGAAGGCGGUUCUCUGGGCAUUACCUGACGCUGAGGAGCGAAAGUGUGGGGAGCGAACAGG
RNAcentral lists this ribosomal RNA (253 nucleotides) under uncultured bacterium. Its description in RNAcentral is "partial 16S ribosomal RNA". It matches the Rfam family "Bacterial small subunit ribosomal RNA", at positions 524 to 776 of the family's 1533-position model. The record is from RNAcentral.